AGUCCGAUAGCAAACAAGUACCGUGAGGGAAAAUUGAAAAGAACUUUGAAGAGAGAGUUCAAGAGUACGUGAAACCGUCUAGCGGUAAAGAGAGGGGUUCUCGAAGUUUCUGAGGGGGACUCAACCUUGGUGGGGCUGUUUCUGGGCGUAUUUGAUCAGCAAUGACUUUGCGCUUAGUCGACAGUGCCUCCCGGACGCACUUUCUCCUCAGUUUACGGCAGGAACCGUUAGAUGUGGACUGAAGGCUCAGGGUGAAGUUGUCGGUUAUGCUGGCAGCCCUUGGUGUCCUAGCUUCGCGUCUGACGGGUAUGUAAGUAAACUCGUAUAGCGAGCAAUUCUCUAUUGCGGUUUGCAUUUCUCUGCCGAGUAGGUCGGUGGCCCCUCUCACCCGUCUUGAAACACGGAC
RNAcentral lists this ribosomal RNA (406 nucleotides) under Metridia venusta. RNAcentral describes it as "partial 28S ribosomal RNA". It matches the Rfam family "Eukaryotic large subunit ribosomal RNA", at positions 331 to 666 of the family's 3401-position model. Lineage: Eukaryota; Metazoa; Arthropoda; Copepoda; Calanoida; Metridinidae. The record is from RNAcentral.